AGUGAACGCUGGCGGCGUGCUUAACACAUGCAAGUCGAACGAGAACGGAUUAUAGCUUGCUAUAACUGUCAGCUAAGUGGCGCACGGGUGAGUAAUGUAUAGGUAAUAUGCCUCUUACUAAGGGAUAACAAAUGGAAACGUUUGCUAAUACCUUAUACUCCUUAUUAACAGAAGUUAAUAAGGGAAAGAUUUAUUGGUAAGAGAUUAGCCUGUAUUGUAUCAGUUAGUUGGUGGGGUAAUGGCUUACCAAGACUAUGGCACAUAACUGGUUUGAGAGGAUGAUCAGUCACACUGGAACUGAGACACGGUCAGACUCCUACGGGAGGCAGCAGUGGGGAAUAUUGCACAAUGGACGAAAGUCUGAUGCAGCAACGCCGCGUGGAGGAUGACACAUUACGGUGCGUAAACUCCUUUUAUAUAGGAAGAUAAUGACGGUACUAUAUGAAUAAGCACCGGCUAACUCCGUGCCAGCCGCCGCGGUAA
This 483-nucleotide ribosomal RNA is filed under the name uncultured bacterium. RNAcentral describes it as "partial 16S ribosomal RNA". It matches the Rfam family "Bacterial small subunit ribosomal RNA", at positions 29 to 523 of the family's 1533-position model. The record is from RNAcentral.